This 241-nucleotide ribosomal RNA is filed under the name Providencia rettgeri. RNAcentral describes it as "partial 16S ribosomal RNA". It matches the Rfam family "Bacterial small subunit ribosomal RNA", at positions 536 to 776 of the family's 1533-position model. The record is from RNAcentral. Lineage: Bacteria; Pseudomonadati; Pseudomonadota; Gammaproteobacteria; Enterobacterales; Morganellaceae.
AAGCGUUAAUCGGAAUUACUGGGCGUAAAGCGCACGCAGGCGGUUGAUUAAGUUAGAUGUGAAAUCCCCGGGCUUAACCUGGGAAUGGCAUCUAAGACUGGUCAGCUAGAGUCUUGUAGAGGGGGGUAGAAUUCCAUGUGUAGCGGUGAAAUGCGUAGAGAUGUGGAGGAAUACCGGUGGCGAAGGCGGCCCCCUGGACAAAGACUGACGCUCAGGUGCGAAAGCGUGGGGAGCAAACAGG